UGCUAGUUCAGAGCCCAUCACUAUGUCUUUAAAGUUAGUAAUCGUUUUUUUAACUCAUUUGCGUUACUUUUCAUUGUUGCUUUCACACCAGAAGCAGGAUGUGGUAUUGACCCUUUUAUUGUCAAUUGUUAUUUGAGAACAGCUCGAUGUCUUUGGCACACACAUCAAACCAGACUUUGAGCAGAGCUAAAUGUGGCUUUGCUUUGAGAACUUCAAUGGAGCCAUGGCCCUUUGCAUUUACAGAGGAGCUGUCUGCAAUGAAAAGUCCCUUUGGCUUCUUGGCUAAACCAAAAGGUUGCAUAACAUGUGCCGUAAGUGGCAACUGAAUUGAAAAACUGGUUAUCUGUAUGGUGGGCAAAAGAGAAAGAUAUUUUGGCAUAUCUCAGUUUCCCUCAGGAUUUGCACCAGGAUAACCUCCUGGAAAGUGCCAGGAGCCUCUCUUGAACGUUCAGUGCCUUCAGACUCCUGUUGGUAUGGAUGGAAACUAAAAACUUUUGAUAGUGGAGAGAUUUAACUCUGAGGGGCUGCAGAAAAAAAGAUGCGUUCCUGUUCCAGGACCUCCAGGUGCACAUAAGUGAUGCUUUUGAGAGGAUCUGCAGAUGGCUGCCAUUUAUCAAGACAGAUGAACUCAUUUGCAGGAAGAGGAAAGGCAGAGAUACAAAGAUUGACAUUUCUACUGUGUGGUUUGAAGCUAAAAUGUAAAGCCCGGGGUCCCUCCUGUCCGUGGAAUGCUCAACCGCUAAGAAAGAUGGACAAACAUGUUGGUGAAAUGCUCACUGAAAUCGUGCAUCUUACAGCAAGAGAUGGGCAAGAGCUGAGCGAUUUAGAUCUGGAGGUAGGUUUGAAGACUCCAAAAAUCAACGUUCUCAGCAGAGCUGAGCUUAAGUUUGAGCUCUCUGGGAAAAUAUAGUUCAACUGUAAUCACUCCACUUAUGUGGGCAAUGGGAAAUGGUUCUGGUGUCAGAUCGAUCCUAGCAAAACCAGAUUUUGCUUUUAUUUUAGUCCUCUGAAAGGGAAUUUUUAACCCUGCUCAACUGCAGCCUGGUGCUGCAGUUUUAAGUCUUUUCCGAGUACAUCUGUCCAGUGCUGCAUGGACUCCUGAGCAAAAAUGAAAUACAUUGCUUCUGAUGAAAUACAUUAUCACACCAGUAAAUGCUUAAGGUGGAAUAUGUAUGUGGCUGACUGACUAAUGGACAACUGUAAGUCGUUUCCAUCAACAUAUCUUUACAACCAUAAGAACAUCUUCUGCUUUUUCGAAGAUAUUUUAGGACUAUGAUGGAAAUUGAAGGUGUAAG
This 1295-nucleotide long non-coding RNA is filed under the name Numida meleagris (helmeted guineafowl). RNAcentral's name for it is "lncRNA (ENSNMEG00000018981.1)". Lineage: Eukaryota; Metazoa; Chordata; Aves; Galliformes; Numididae. The record is from RNAcentral.